RNAcentral lists this long non-coding RNA (682 nucleotides) under Taeniopygia guttata (zebra finch). Its description in RNAcentral is "lncRNA (ENSTGUG00000024342.1)". Lineage: Eukaryota; Metazoa; Chordata; Aves; Passeriformes; Estrildidae. The record is from RNAcentral.
GUAGUUGAGGGUGGGACACACCUGGGCACACCUGGGGCCACACCUGGGCAUACCUGGGCACACCUGGGCAUACCUGGGCACAUUUGGGGACACCUGGGCAUACCUGGGCACACCUGGGGCCACACCUGGGGCUGGGGGGUCUCAAGGGGCCCUUCCGGACCCCCCCCAGCCCCCCUGACCCCCUGACCCCCCCCCCAGGAUCAACAACGACCUCCUGCUGUGGGAGCCGGCCGGCCCCGCCCCCUCCGGAGACCACGCCCACUCCGGAGACCACGCCCCUUCAGGGGUCCACCCCCACUCUGGAGACCACGCCCCCUCCAUAGACCACGCCCCACCAGAAGGCCCCGCCCCCUUCAGGCCGUGCCGGUCGGCGCUGGGCUCAGACUCGGACGAGGACGACGAGGAUGAGGAUGAGGAGGGGGACAAAGGUUCCGGGGGGUCCCCGCAGGACCCCGGGGACCCCCGCGGGCCCCCCCCGAGCGGCGGCGCCAUCCUGGUCACCGUGCCCUGGGGGCGCGUCACGGCCGAGUGUCCCCCCGAGGGGGGGGUCCCCGGCUCGCGGCUGGAGCUGGAGUUGGGGGAGGGGCGGCUCUGCGUCCUCCCCCGCCCGGGGGGGGUCCGGGGCCGGUCCUGGGCCUGCGCCGACGCCCGGAGCUUCGUCCUGCUGCACGGUACCCCAAAA